GUCCACGCCGUAAACGAUGAUCACUCGGAUGGUUGGCGAUACACUGUCAGCGUCUAAGCGAAAGCAUUAAGUGAUCCACCUGGGGAGUACGGCCGCAAGGUUGAAACUCAAAGGAAUUGACGGGGGGCCCGCACAAGCGGAGGAGCAUGUGGUUUAAUUCGAUGAUACGCGAGGAACCUUACCUGGGCUAGAACGCAAGAUGGCAGUCCCGGAAACGGGAUCUUCCUUCGGGACAUUUUGCGAGGUGCUGCAUGGUUGUCGU
This 262-nucleotide ribosomal RNA is filed under the name uncultured bacterium. RNAcentral's name for it is "partial 16S ribosomal RNA". It matches the Rfam family "Bacterial small subunit ribosomal RNA", at positions 793 to 1055 of the family's 1533-position model. The record is from RNAcentral.